Molecule: ribosomal RNA, 628 nt
Filed under: uncultured Bacteroidales bacterium
Lineage: Bacteria; Pseudomonadati; Bacteroidota; Bacteroidia; Bacteroidales
Description: bacterial SSU rRNA
Rfam family: Bacterial small subunit ribosomal RNA
Source: RNAcentral
GMUGRCGACCGGCGCACGGGUGAGUAACACGUAUCCAACCURCCGYUUACUCGGGGAUAGCCUUUCGAAAGAAAGAUUAAUACCCGAUGGUAUAAAGAGUUCGCAUGUUCUCUUUAUUAAAGAAUUUCGGUAAGCGAUGGGGAUGCGUUCCAUUAGAUAGUUGGCGGGGUAACGGCCCACCAAGUCUACGAUGGAUAGGGGUUCUGAGAGGAAGGUCCCCCACAUUGGAACUGAGACACGGUCCAAACUCCUACGGGAGGCAGCAGUGAGGAAUAUUGGUCAAUGGACGMGAGUCUGAACCAGCCAAGUAGCGUGAAGGAUGACUGCCCUAUGGGUUGUAAACUUCUUUUAUAAGGGAAUAAAGUGAGGGACGUGUCCCUUUUUGUAUGUACCUUAUGAAUAAGGAUCGGCUAACUCCGUGCCAGCAGCCGCGGUAAUACGGAGGAUCCAAGCGUUAUCCGGAUUUAUUGGGUUUAAAGGGAGCGUAGGUUGACAUAUAAGUCAGCUGUGAAAGUUUACGGCUCAACCGUGAAAUUGCAGUUGAUACUGUAUGUCUUGAGUGUACAAGAGGUGGGCGGAAUUCGUGGUGUAGCGGUGAAAUGCUUAGAUAUCACGAAGAACUCCGAUU